AAGGAACCUUGAUGUGCGUCUCCAGUUUGACUUCCUCCUUCCCCGAGAAGAAGUUCUCCUCUUUCAGCUUGCCAAAUAUCCGACCCUGGGCCUGGACAUAAGAGGAGAGCGUGAGGAAAAUAAUUUACUCAUUUCUCAAGUGAUACUUCUUGCAGCCAUAUUUAUAAUUAGGUUACCUUAAAUUGAGCCUCUGGCGUGCCGGUAAUGAUCACCAUUCUCUCUGUGACAUCGGGACUCUCAGCUGGGGCGAUCUGAAGGCAAAUCAGAGAGGAGAAAUUGGAGCGUACAUUUCAUUCCAAUUUUUUUUGAAGGUGAAACUGUGAGGUCUCCGCACCUUGAUGGAGGCUCCAGCAAAGUGGGCGAGCUGCUUAAUAUGCUGGCCCUUCUUGCCAAUGAGAGCUCCCACUGCCUGAGUUGGAAUAAAGAGGUAGACAACCUCCUGUUCUGGAGCCUGUGGGUGGAAACAAAGAUGCUUUUAAGCACACACACAAGGAGUGAAAAUGCUUUUUUUUUGUAUUUUAGUUCUCCGGGAAGCAGACAAGAAAAGAUGACAGAGCGUGAACUCGAUACCACAUGAGCCAAGUCUGGAGGCAAGACAGCCAAAAAAAUUCCUGUCAAAGUUUCCACUAGAAGACACAAAUGAUGUAAAAGUAGCUUUCAAGAAGUCUCUACAGACAAAUUUGAGUUUCACAACUUUUUAUCAUAAAAAUCGAAAUGUUUUUUCAUGGUGUAAAUUUGAUGUUUUCAAUUCUGAUAACUGAAUCAUUUUUUGUAAUGAAUUGCAGAUGUGCCUUGAGAUGCACGUUUGAUUCCAACAAUUAUGCUUGUGUUUUUUUUACAAAACUAAUAACAUUUACUUUCCACAUAACCAGCAAAUAUGGAAAAUGAAAGCAUGACACAUGUCUGUCCUUAAUGUAAACAACCCAUCUGUUGGUUUUCAAAAUCCAAUCACAAAAGUUUGCCAGCACAUCCAUGUUUUAAGAUAAGCCGAGGUGUCCGUCAAGUGUAACGCUCUUGUAUGUUUUGACCCGACGCCUGCAAACAAAAUUCGGCUAAGAGUUGAGCUUUUUGCCGUCUGGCCUCGUGUAUUUGUGUACUUGUGGUUUAUUGAGUGGAUUUAAUGAGCCCUAGCUCAACUCUGGGCUGGAACUCUCAAUCCAGACAUAUUUGUGGUGUUCUGGUGGCGGUGGUGAUACUGAGAUGCUGAUGAGGGAUUCUCGAUGCUAUUUUUUUCCCCUUGAAUCCAAUUCAGGGAUUUAAGAAACUUUUCUCCUUCCAAUAGCACUCAAAAGGUGACAUUUUGCCACACAGCAAAAGAAGACAUGAUCUCUUGUGUUCAAUUCAAUACUAAAUAAUUCUACUCAUGGGCCACAACAUUAGGUACGCCUGCACGUCCCAGUAAUAUCCGAACAAC
This is a long non-coding RNA of Syngnathus acus (greater pipefish), 1414 nucleotides long. RefSeq lists it as uncharacterized. The transcript has 2 exons. The record is from RefSeq and is a predicted model, not a curated record. NCBI's taxonomy places the organism in Eukaryota, Metazoa, Chordata, Actinopteri, Syngnathiformes, Syngnathidae.